CGUAGGGUGCGAGCGUUAAUCGGAAUUACUGGGCGUAAAGCGUGCGCAGGCGGUUUUGUAAGACAGAUGUGAAAUCCCCGGGCUCAACCUGGGACCUGCAUUUGUGACUGCAAGGCUAGAGUACGGUAGAGGGGGAUGGAAUUCCGCGUGUAGCAGUGAAAUGCGUAGAUAUGCGGAGGAACACCGAUGGCGAAGGCAAUCCCCUGGACCUGUACUGACGCUCAUGCACGAAAGCGUGGGGAGCAAACAGGAUUAGAUACCCUGGUAGUCCACGCCCUAAACGAUGUCAACUGGUUGUUGGGUCUUUACUGACUCAGUAACAAAGCUAACGCGUGAAGUUGACCGCCUGGGGAGUACGGCCGCAAGGUUG
RNAcentral lists this ribosomal RNA (370 nucleotides) under uncultured organism. Its description in RNAcentral is "bacterial SSU rRNA". It matches the Rfam family "Bacterial small subunit ribosomal RNA", at positions 526 to 896 of the family's 1533-position model. The record is from RNAcentral.